Molecule: long non-coding RNA, 1446 nt
Organism: Pyrus x bretschneideri (Chinese white pear)
Lineage: Eukaryota; Viridiplantae; Streptophyta; Magnoliopsida; Rosales; Rosaceae
Exons: 6
Source: RefSeq, a predicted model, not a curated record
UACAAAUUCCUUUCACACUUAAUCUCAUCAUAAAACCAACAAAAUUCAAAAACCAUCAAGCCCUCCAUUAAAUCGAAAAAAACAUCAUCUUGGCAAUAGUUGAAUUUUUCUUGGGAAUUUCGCCUAUCCCUGAGAUUUUCUGGGUGGAUUUUGUUAUCAGGUCGCGAAUUUAAAAGGGUUUUGACUUUGGGAGGAGAUGAAGAUCGGUGACGAUGAUCGGAGUUCGUCGGCAUGUGGAUGAUUCCAGUGGCGCAUUGAUUAUCAAUCAUGGUGAUUCCUAGGGUUUCUGGUGCGUAAAUUUUUGGGGAUUUUGUUUGGAUUUUUGGCCCGCAUUCGGUACCGAGUGCCAGAAAUUAUCCAGUCCUGUACUUCUACAAGGAAAUACAAAGUAGCACUUAUGAAGUUGUCAAGGGAAAUGUACAUUCAGCCGUUGUAAAACCCGAAAGCAAGCCGAAGCUUUGAGCUCAGAGAGAGAUAGUAGUCAUCAUUCAAAUCCGAGUUCAAAUCCUAUUUUUGAGCCUUUUGUUUCGUCGGUGGUCAGAUGGUCUACAAAUUGGAAAGAUACGCCAUACGCCAAUGCAAUAGUUUGAGAACAUAAUAUGGGAAACUUUGGGAAGGACAUAUAUGCGAAAGGAAGACUGACAAUGGGUUGGUGGGUAAACUGAACGUUUUAAAAUCAUAUUCUAUUCCGUAAUAUAACACUAUUGCGUUUGGACUAGCAACAUUUAAAUGGUGUCACCUAGAAAGUUGGUUGUUGUAUCAUGUCAUGUAUUUUUAAGUUGGAGAUUUUUUAGGUAGCCAGCUCGAGGAAAUGGCCCUCAGUUUCUAAUUUUGUUUGGGUUUGAGGCCAUCAUUGGCGUUAAGGCGUUUAUUGUCAGACCAUGUGUGUUUUUUGGUUGUGUUUGUGCUGGGACAACAUUUUCCACCUUCUGUGACUGCGUUUUAAAAUUAUUGAGGCUUCAGUGUUUGAGUCGCUUAGAUUGCUAAAGAAUUCAGCAAAAAGGCUUUCCAGACACAGCCGAUUUUUUACUUCCAAGGUUCGUGCAUGCUUCUCCAUAAUUUCAUCGGUUAACUUUUUUUAGUUACAUUUCCUUUUCUGUUCUAAAUUAUUGUGUUUUAGUGCUGCCUUUGUUAUAUCAACUUUGAAAUUUCAACACAAUUUUCUAAAAUAUAAUGUUUUUUUUCCGGAACUUUACAUAUUUCUGAGUAUACACUGCAUUUGUUAAGGUAUUUUUCAUUCUUUUCGAUGUUGGUAUCUUGAAACAGACAAUGUAGCUAUCUGAAAUAUUCACUAUUGCAGGGCGGCUCAGUAUAACAUUCGCAAAGGUUUUUUUCUCUUUCCCAUCUCCAUAUACAUAUGAUGAAUGCAAUUAAGAAGUCUAAUGUAUGGUAACAUUUUAUAGCAAAUUUUCUGGAAAUUUUCAACAGGCAAAUUCAGUUGAUCUU